AUUGAACGCUGGCGGCAGGCUUAACACAUGCAAGUCGAGCGGAGAUGAGGUGCUUGCACCUUAUCUUAGCGGCGGACGGGUGAGUAAUGCUUAGGAAUCUGCCAUUUAGUGGGGGACAACAUUCCGAAAGGAAUGCUAAUACCGCAUACGUCCUACGGGAGAAAGCAGGGGAUCUUCGGACCUUGCGCUAAAUGAUGAGCCUAAGUCGGAUUAGCUAGUUGGUGGGGUAAAGGCCUACCAAGGCGACGAUCUGUAGCGGGUCUGAGAGGAUGAUCCGCCACACUGGGACUGAGACACGGCCCAGACUCCUACGGGAGGCAGCAGUGGGGAAUAUUGGACAAUGGGGGGAACCCUGAUCCAGCCAUGCCGCGUGUGUGAAGAAGGCCUUAUGGUUGUAAAGCACUUUAAGCGAGGAGGAGGCUACCGAGACUAAUACUCUUGGAUAGUGGACGUUACUCGCAGAAUAAGCACCGGCUAACUCUGUG
This 485-nucleotide ribosomal RNA is filed under the name uncultured bacterium. RNAcentral describes it as "partial 16S ribosomal RNA". It matches the Rfam family "Bacterial small subunit ribosomal RNA", at positions 30 to 507 of the family's 1533-position model. The record is from RNAcentral.